Oryza brachyantha (malo sina) is the source of this 926-nucleotide long non-coding RNA. RefSeq lists it as uncharacterized. The transcript has 6 exons. The record is from RefSeq and is a predicted model, not a curated record. Lineage: Eukaryota; Viridiplantae; Streptophyta; Magnoliopsida; Poales; Poaceae.
CGCUCCCCGUCUAUGUCGCAUCGCUUUCCUUCCUCCCCGUCCGUAUCGCAGGCGGCAUCUAGCGCGCUCUCCUUCCUCCCGUCCGUAUCACAGCGCCAGUGUGUUGUCCGACGACGACAACGGGCCGCGCGGCCUCGCUCUUGUCGUCUGCAGCGAGGGGACCUCCGACGUACACGGCAGAUCAAGACGAGCAGCCGAUCGCGACGGUUCCGAUCAGCACAUUCGCCGCCGCGCGCGGCCGUCCUGCCGACAUCGCCGCCGAGCGACCACACCGACCAGAUUUUCAGAUGAUGAAUCCUUCAAACCGGGAGUAGGUUAUUGAUGGUCUCAGGCAGCUUCUGGGUUGAUCAAUCGUACAGGUUGCUUCUGGGUUGAUCAAUGUCAGUUUUGGUAUCCACCAUGAAACUGCCUGCCUUCAAUGAACCAUUCCAACGAUCUGGUGUUUUAUUUCAGAUAGCAGAGUUUGAGGACUGAGGUAUUAAUGUUUCAAAUAACACAGUUUCAGAUAAUCAGAUUUUGAUCAAUUUGCACAUCCAAGAUGCUGAUGAGAAAAGGAGGAAAAGCAGGAGUUACACCAUAUUUUUUGCUGAACCUAUGCGAGCAUCCAAUUCAUUUGUUGGCACGGAGGAGUACAUUCCGCCGCCUGAGAUCAUUACAGGAGGUGGCCAUAAUUGUAAAGAUAUCUGGUUAAGACGACAUAAUGUUUUACAGAUGAAGUUAUUCAAAAUCCAAUCUUCUUAAGACAUUUAUUUUCUUUUUUUACGUUCUUCAUAUACUCUCUGUUCUGAACUGGAUGGCACAGCGAGUACUUAAUUGUAAUUGAGAUUAGUAUUUUAUAUCGAUCAAAUAGAAUUUGAUCAUAAUUGUUAAUGAGAAUCUAUUAAAACGUCAUAAUGUUUAACAGAUGACGUAAGUCAAUUUCUAAU